UUAAAUUGAAGAGUUUGAUCAUGGCUCAGAUUGAACGCUGGCGGCAGGCCUAACACAUGCAAGUCGAACGGUAACAGGAAGCAGCUUGCUGNCUUUGCUGACGAGUGGCGGACGGGUGAGUAAUGUCUGGGAAACUGCCUGAUGGAGGGGGAUAACUACUGGAAACGGUAGCUAAUACCGCAUAACGUCGCAAGACCAAAGAGGGGGACCUUAGGGCCUCUUGCCAUCGGAUGUGCCCAGAUGGGAUUAGCUAGUAGGUGGGGUAACGGCUCACCUAGGCGACGAUCCCUAGCUGGUCUGAGAGGAUGACCAGCCACACUGGAACUGAGACACGGUCCAGACUCCUACGGGAGGCAGCAGUGGGGAAUAUUGCACAAUGGGCGCAAGCCUGAUGCAGCCAUGCCGCGUGUAUGAAGAAGGCCUUCGGGUUGUAAAGUACUUUCAGCGGGGAGGAAGGGAGUAAAGUUAAUACCUUUGCUCAUUGACGUUACCCGCAGAAGAAGCACCGGCUAACUCCGUGCCAGCAGCCGCGGUAAUACGGAGGGUGCAAGCGUUAAUCGGAAUUACUGGGCGUAAAGCGCACGCAGGCGGUUUGUUAAGUCAGAUGUGAAAUCCCCGGGCUCAACCUGGGAACUGCAUCUGAUACUGGCAAGCUUGAGUCUCGUAGAGGGGGGUAGAAUUCCAGGUGUAGCGGUGAAAUGCGUAGAGAUCUGGAGGAAUACCGGUGGCGAAGGCGGCCCCCUGGACGAAGACUGACGCUCAGGUGCGAAAGCGUGGGGAGCAAACAGGAUUAGAUACCCUGGUAGUCCACGCCGUAAACGAUGUCGACUUGGAGGUUGUGCCCUUGAGGCGUGGCUUCCGGAGCUAACGCGUUAAGUCGACCGCCUGGGGAGUACGGCCGCAAGGUUAAAACUCAAAUGAAUUGACGGGGGCCCGCACAAGCGGUGGAGCAUGUGGUUUAAUUCGAUGCAACGCGAAGAACCUUACCUGGUCUUGACAUCCACGGAAGUUUUCAGAGAUGAGAAUGUGCCUUCGGGAACCGUGAGACAGGUGCUGCAUGGCUGUCGUCAGCUCGUGUUGUGAAAUGUUGGGUUAAGUCCCGCAACGAGCGCAACCCUUAUCCUUUGUUGCCAGCGGUCCGGCCGGGAACUCAAAGGAGACUGCCAGUGAUAAACUGGAGGAAGGUGGGGAUGACGUCAAGUCAUCAUGGCCCUUACGACCAGGGCUACACACGUGCUACAAUGGCGCAUACAAAGAGAAGCGACCUCGCGAGAGCAAGCGGACCUCAUAAAGUGCGUCGUAGUCCGGAUUGGAGUCUGCAACUCGACUCCAUGAAGUCGGAAUCGCUAGUAAUCGUGGAUCAGAAUGCCACGGUGAAUACGUUCCCGGGCCUUGUACACACCGCCCGUCACACCAUGGGAGUGGGUUGCAAAAGAAGUAGGUAGCUUAACCUUCGGGAGGGCGCUUACCACUUUGUGAUUCAUGACUGGGGUGAAGUCGUAACAAGGUAACCGUAGGGGAACCUGCGGUUGGAUCACCUCCUUACCUUAAAGAAGC
RNAcentral lists this ribosomal RNA (1557 nucleotides) under Escherichia coli. RNAcentral describes it as "bacterial SSU rRNA". It matches the Rfam family "Bacterial small subunit ribosomal RNA". Lineage: Bacteria; Pseudomonadati; Pseudomonadota; Gammaproteobacteria; Enterobacterales; Enterobacteriaceae. The record is from RNAcentral.